GGAGGGAUGGCCGAGUGGUUGAAGGCGCACGCCUGGAAAGUGUGUAUACGGCAAACACCGUAUCGUGGGUUCGAAUCCCACUCCCUCCGCCA
Molecule: transfer RNA, 92 nt
Filed under: Alphaproteobacteria bacterium
Lineage: Bacteria; Pseudomonadati; Pseudomonadota; Alphaproteobacteria
Description: tRNA-Ser
Rfam family: tRNA
About the family: Transfer RNA (tRNA) molecules are approximately 80 nucleotides in length. Their secondary structure includes four short double-helical elements and three loops (D, anti-codon, and T loops). Further hydrogen bonds mediate the characteristic L-shaped molecular structure. tRNAs have two regions of fundamental functional importance: the anti-codon, which is responsible for specific mRNA codon recognition, and the 3' end, to which the tRNAs corresponding amino acid is attached (by aminoacyl-tRNA synthetases). tRNAs cope with the degeneracy of the genetic code in two manners: having more than one tRNA (with a specific anti-codon) for a particular amino acid; and 'wobble' base-pairing, i.e. permitting non-standard base-pairing at the 3rd anti-codon position.
Source: RNAcentral